RNAcentral lists this ribosomal RNA (916 nucleotides) under uncultured bacterium. RNAcentral's name for it is "bacterial SSU rRNA". It matches the Rfam family "Bacterial small subunit ribosomal RNA", at positions 246 to 1155 of the family's 1533-position model. The record is from RNAcentral.
UUGUUGGUAAGGUAAAAGCUUACCAAGGCUUCGAUCAGUAGCUGGUCUGAGAGGACGACCAGCCACACUGGGACUGAGACACGGCCCAGACUCCUACGGGAGGCAGCAGUGGGGAAUUUUGGACAAUGGGGGCAACCCUGAUCCAGCCAUGCCGCGUGAGUGAAGAAGGCCUUCGGGUUGUAAAGCUCUUUCAGCCGGAACGAAACGGUUACGGAUAACACCCGUGACUACUGACGGUACCGGAAGAAGAAGCACCGGCUAACUACGUGCCAGCAGCCGCGGUAAUACGUAGGGUGCGAGCGUUAAUCGGAAUUACUGGGCGUAAAGCGUGCGCAGGUGGUUUUGUAAGUCAGAUGUGAAAGCCCCGGGCCCAACCUGGGAACUGCGUUUGAAACUACAAGACUAGAGUGUGGCAGAGGGGGGUGGAAUUCCGCGUGUAGCAGUGAAAUGCGUAGAGAUGUGGAGGAACACCGAUGGCGAAGGCAGCCCCCUGGGUCAACACUGACGCUCAGGCACGAAAGCAUGGGGAGCAAACAGGAUUAGAUACCCUGGUAGUCCAUGCCCUAAACGAUGUCAACUAGUUGUCGGGCCUUUACGGGCUUGGUAACGUAGCUAACGCGUGAAGUUGACCGCCUGGGGAGUACGAUCGCAAGAUUAAAACUCAAAUGAAUUGACGGGGACCCGCACAAGCGGUGGAUUAUGUGGAUUAAUUCGAUGCAACGCGAAAAACCUUACCUACCCUUGACAUGUAUCGAAGCCCGCAGAAAAGCGGGGGUGCCCGAAAGGGAACGAUAACACAGGUGCUGCAUGGCUGUCGUCAGCUCGUGUCGUGAGAUGUUGGGUUAAGUCCCGCAACGAGCGCAACCCUUGUCAUUAAUUGCCAUCAUUUAGUUGGGCACUUUAAUGAGACUGCCGG